CCAGAUUUGGAAAAUGCAUAUUAGAAUUACCUGAGCUUCUCUAGCAAGCACAUCAUAUAAUAAUUUCACAAGUAGUGGCUGUUUUCUUAAGAUUUCUGGAAAUUACUGUCCUGACUGACCUUAAUAUGAGAACAUUUUGGUGAUAUUUCAACAUUUCUGGUUCUGGCAGCAAAAUGUGGAAAAAGAAUCAUCACCUUACGCUUAGUUGAAUGUUUCUUUAAAUAAAAGGCUUAGUUUGCAUUUGGUUGUGAUGCAGUAUGGAGAAUGUGAGACCGUUUUUUCCAAACAAGAUUGCUCAUUCCUACAGGAAAUGACCUCAUUCUUGAUGGCUGCUGCUAACUUAUGGUGAGAUGCUGGGUCCCUGCCCAAUACCACAUGGACAUCCAAUCAAUUUACCCAGGGACAAGUCCACUCAAGAGCAUCAUUUAGAAGAGGGAAAAGGCACUGGGGUUAUUUGUUUUUGGAGUAUGUGCUUAAGGAAAUCUAGAGUAUUCCCACGAGCAUUCUGCUGAGAUGAACAAUCAGAUGACCUCGUGUGAGAUUUGGAGGAGAGAAGGAAAUGGAGAGCAUGCGUCUGCCGCUUCUGUGGUUUCUGUCGGUAAGCACAGUGAUGAGGUGCUGAGUUUUCCCCAGAAGGCCUCCCAGUGUCCUAUUACCAGCUUCACAAGCGUCGAGGGCAGGGCAUGGGCAUCUAUUGUUCACCAGUGGAGAUCUAUCUGGCACAGAACCGAUCCAACCAUUGCAGUGGUCACAGCGGUGUUGGCUUUCUGAUUCUCAACCUUCCUGACCGCCAGAGGAGACAGCCUCUUUGGUGGCCCUGUUCUGUGGUAUUGUGCUAACCGGUGGUGGGACUAAAACUGUCUCUAUAAUGUUUUAUUUCUUAAAAAAAAAUUCUGAAGCAAAUGUGACAAUAUGUUAACAUUCUUAAAAUCUGGGUAGUGGGAACAUGGAUGUUGUUAUUUGUGGUGUGUUUGAAAUUGUGUCAUAUUAUAAAUUUUAAAAAAAUGUUUUGACUACAAAAUCUCUAUGUAUAUGCCCAGUUUUUGUAGAUUGUUGCUUACGCUUUUCAUAUUUUUACCCAAGGAGUAAUCAGGAAUUCUAAAAGUCUUAUGUAACAGGAUUUAAAAUAAAAUUACACAGAAUCUCAACUGUACUAUAUUUUGAAAAUAUGAAUGAUUAAGAUUAUUUUUUAUAUUUUUAUUAAUAUAGAGAAAAUAAUUUCUAUAAAAUAUGCUUUCAGCUAAUGGGGGAUCCCAUUCCAUAUUUUUUUCUUUUUCUUUUUUUUUUU
This 1288-nucleotide long non-coding RNA is filed under the name Homo sapiens (human). RNAcentral describes it as "PREDICTED lncRNA (TCONS_00226949)". The record is from RNAcentral. Lineage: Eukaryota; Metazoa; Chordata; Mammalia; Primates; Hominidae.